This 19-nucleotide small nuclear RNA is filed under the name Arabidopsis thaliana (thale cress). RNAcentral describes it as "snRNA_07370". Lineage: Eukaryota; Viridiplantae; Streptophyta; Magnoliopsida; Brassicales; Brassicaceae. The record is from RNAcentral.
UGAAUCUUGAUGAUGCCAC